Molecule: ribosomal RNA, 600 nt
Filed under: uncultured Gemmatimonadota bacterium
Lineage: Bacteria; Pseudomonadati; Gemmatimonadota
Description: bacterial SSU rRNA
Rfam family: Bacterial small subunit ribosomal RNA
Source: RNAcentral
CCCGUUAAGUUACCCCUGCCUGGGGGGAGUACGGGCCGCAAGGGCUGGAAACUUCAAAGGGAAUUAGACGGGGGGCCCCGCCACAAAGGGGUGGGAGCAUGUGGGUUUAAUUAGGCCGCAACGGCGAAGAACCUUACCGUAGGCUUAACAUGCAUGGGAAAGCCCCCUGGAAACAGGGGCCCCUCUUCGGAGGCUCAUGCACAGGUGCUGCAUGGCUGUCGUCAGCUACGUGUCGUGAGAUGUUGGGUUAAGUNCCGCAACGAGCGCAACCCUUACCCUUAGUUGCCAGCGAGUCAUGUCGGGGACUCUAGGGGGACUGCCGGUGCCAAACCGGAGGAAGGUGGGGAUGACGUCAAGUCAUCAUGGUCCUUACGUCUAGGGCUACACACGUGCUACAAUGGCAGGUACAGAGGGCUGUGAAGGGGCAACCUGGAGCCAAUCCCCAAAGCCUGCCUCAGUUCGGAUUGUCGGCUGCAACUCGCCGGCAUGAAGCUGGAAUCGCUAGUAAUCAGCGGAUCAGUCUACGCCGCGGUGAAUACCGUUCCCGGUGGUUUGUACACACCGCCCGUCACGCCACGGAAGCUGUGAGCGCCCGACGUC